AGAGCGAACGCUGGCGGCAGGCCUAAUACAUGCAAGUCGAACGCACCUUCGGGUGAGUGGCGGACGGGUGAGUAACACGUGGGAACGUGCCCUUUGGUUCGGAAUAAUCCGGGGAAACCUGGCCUAAUACCGAAUGUGCCCUUCGGGGGAAAGAUUUAUCGCCAUUGGAGCGGCCCGCGUCUGAUUAGCUAGUUGGUGGGGUAAAGGCCCACCAAGGCUACGAUCAGUAGCUGGUCUGAGAGGAUGAUCAGCCACACUGGGACUGAGACACGGCCCAGACUCCUACGGGAGGCAGCAGUAGGGAAUCUUGCGCAAUGGGCGAAAGCCUGACGCAGCCAUGCCGCGUGAAUGAUGAAGGUCUUAGGAUUGUAAAAUUCUUUCAGCGGGAAGAUAAUGACGGUACCGCAGAAGAAGCUCCGGCUAACUUCGCGCCAGCAGCCGC
RNAcentral lists this ribosomal RNA (442 nucleotides) under uncultured bacterium. RNAcentral's name for it is "SSU rRNA". It matches the Rfam family "Bacterial small subunit ribosomal RNA", at positions 26 to 518 of the family's 1533-position model. The record is from RNAcentral.